Molecule: long non-coding RNA, 518 nt
Filed under: Pan troglodytes (chimpanzee)
Lineage: Eukaryota; Metazoa; Chordata; Mammalia; Primates; Hominidae
Description: long non-coding RNA NONPTRT010609
Source: RNAcentral
GACCUGCACAUUUAAAGAAACGUUUUGUUUUGUUUCUUGAAGGGCCCCAGGGGCUUAUAAAGGAGAGGAAGGGGGUGGAGUGUGAGGUUGGUAAAAGCAGCGGAAGCUGGCUUGGCAUCCUGGAGGAGCAGGAAGAGAGUUCAUGUUCCACCUUCCCCUCUUCCCCACUAUUCCACAGGGUCUGGAGGAGAAGAGCAGAGGGGUCUCUGGUUCCCAGGAAAGGGCCUGGGCCAGACUUUCUGAUGGAGACAGCUGGGUGGUGAGUGUCCAGGCAGACAGGACUGAGGCUUGCCUCACAGAAGAUUCUCGCCACUCAAGUGAGGUGCAGAAGCAGCAGCGAGCCAGCACUUCUGAAGGGAACACCUGAGCACAACUCAUUCUUUCUUGAUGAGGCUUUGCUGCUGAGGAGUUCUUGCUAUUAAUACUUCUCUUCCUGCCAAAAAAAAAACCUGGUUCCUGCACAUUUACUGUGAAGCACUGAUUAUUAGCCUCCUGGUGCUCUAGGAUACAGCAGAGAG